This 253-nucleotide ribosomal RNA is filed under the name uncultured bacterium. RNAcentral describes it as "partial 16S ribosomal RNA". It matches the Rfam family "Bacterial small subunit ribosomal RNA", at positions 524 to 776 of the family's 1533-position model. The record is from RNAcentral.
UACGUAGGUGGCAAGCGUUGUCCGGAAUUAUUGGGCGUAAAGCGCGCGCAGGCGGUCCUUUAAGUCUGAUGUGAAAUCCCACGGCUCAACCGUGGAACUGCUGGGUAUACUGGCGAUCUUGAGCCACCUAGGGGCGAGCGGAACAAGCGGUGGAGCGGUGAAAUGCGUAGAUAUCGCUUGGAACGCCAAUGGUGAAAACAGCUCGCUGGGGGUGUGCUGACGCUGAGACACGAAAGCCAGGGGAGCGAACGGG